AUACUUACCUGGACGGGGUCAAUGGGUGAUCAAGAAGGCCCAUGGCCUAGGUAAGCGACCUCCAUUGCACUUAGGAGGGGCGCUUGCCUAAGGUCUCCCCAAGUGGGAGAGCCUACGUCAUAAUUUGUGGCAGUGGGGGCCUGCGUUCGCGCGGCCCCCGU
Non-coding RNA from Corchorus olitorius, 161 nucleotides. The record is from Rfam. Lineage: Eukaryota; Viridiplantae; Streptophyta; Magnoliopsida; Malvales; Malvaceae.